RNAcentral lists this ribosomal RNA (484 nucleotides) under uncultured bacterium. Its description in RNAcentral is "partial 16S ribosomal RNA". It matches the Rfam family "Bacterial small subunit ribosomal RNA", at positions 30 to 507 of the family's 1533-position model. The record is from RNAcentral.
AUUGAACGCUGGCGGCAGGCCUAACACAUGCAAGUCGAGCGGAUGAAGGGAGCUUGCUCCUGGAUUCAGCGGCGGACGGGUGAGUAAUGCCUAGGAAUCUGCCCGGCAGUGGGGGAUAACGUCCGGAAACGGGUGCUAAUACAGCAUACGCCCUGUGGGAGAAAGUGGGGGAUCUUCGGAUCUCACGCUAUCAGAUGAGCCUAGGUCGGAUUUGCGAGUUGGUGGGGUAAAGGCCUACCAAGGCGACGAUCCGUAACUGGUCUGAGAGGCUGAUCAGUCACACUGGAACUGAUACACGUUCCAGACUCCUACGGGAGUCAGCCGUGGGGAAUUUUCGACAAUGGGCGAAAGCCUGAGCCAGCCAUGCCGCGUGUGUGAAGAAGGUCUUCGGAUUGUAAAGCACUUUAAGUUGGGAGGAAGGAUAGUAAGUUGAUAUCUUGCUGUUUUGACGUUACCCACAGAAUAAGCACCGGCUAACUUCGUG